Molecule: ribosomal RNA, 249 nt
Filed under: uncultured Actinomycetales bacterium
Lineage: Bacteria; Bacillati; Actinomycetota; Actinomycetes; Actinomycetales
Description: partial 16S ribosomal RNA
Rfam family: Bacterial small subunit ribosomal RNA
Source: RNAcentral
GGGGUGCUCGAGUGGCGAACGGGUGAGUAACACGUGAGUAACCUGCCCUUGACUUUGGGAUAACUUCAGGAAACUGGGGCUAAUACCGGGUAGGAGCUCCUGCUGCAUGGUGGGGGUUGGAAAGUUUCGGCGGUUGGGGAUGGACUCGCGGCUUAUCAGCUUGUUGGUGGGGUAGUGGCUUACCAAGGCUUUGACGGGUAGCCGGCCUGAGAGGGUGACCGGCCACAUUGGGACUGAGAUACGGCCCAG